RNAcentral lists this ribosomal RNA (254 nucleotides) under uncultured bacterium. Its description in RNAcentral is "partial 16S ribosomal RNA". It matches the Rfam family "Bacterial small subunit ribosomal RNA", at positions 524 to 776 of the family's 1533-position model. The record is from RNAcentral.
UACGAGUGCCCCAAGCGUUAUCCGGAAUUAUUGGGCGUAAAGGUUGUGUAGGUGGUUUUGUUAGUCUCCUGUUAAAUUCUUCGGCUCAACCGGGGGUCUGCAGGGGAAACGGCAAGACUAGAGGAUGCGAGAGGUGAAUGGAACUCAUGGUGUAGGGGUGAAAUCCGUUGAUAUCAUGGGGAACACCAAAUGCGAAGGCAAUUCACUGGCGCACUUCCUGACACUGAAACAAGAAAGCGUGGGUAGCGAACAGG